CCUACGGGGGGCUGCAGUGAGGAAUAUUGGUCAAUGGCCGAGAGGCUGAACCAGCCAAGUCGCGUGAGGGAAGACGGCCCUACGGGUUGUAAACCUCUUUUGUCGGGGAGCAAAGCGAACCACGUGUGGUUCAUUGAGAGUACCCGAAGAAAAAGCAUCGGCUAACUCCGUGCCAGCAGCCGCGGUAAUACAUAGGGGGCAAGCGUUAUCCGGAAUUAUUGGGUGUAAAGGGUGCGUAGACGGAAGAACAAGUUGGUUGUGAAAUCCCUCGGCUCAACUGAGGAACUGCAACCAAAACUAUUCUCCUUGAGUGUCGGAGAGGAAAGUGGAAUUCCUAGUGUAGCGAUGAAAUGCGUAGAUAUUAGGAGGAACACCAGUGGCGAAGGCGACUUUCUGGACGAUAACUGACGUUGAGGCACGAAAGUGUGGGGAGCAAACAGGAUUAGAUACCCGUGUAGUC
RNAcentral lists this ribosomal RNA (460 nucleotides) under uncultured bacterium. RNAcentral's name for it is "partial 16S ribosomal RNA". It matches the Rfam family "Bacterial small subunit ribosomal RNA", at positions 338 to 795 of the family's 1533-position model. The record is from RNAcentral.